ACUUCGGUGGGGAUUAGUGGCUUCGGGUGUUAAACACGUGGGCAAUCUGCCCUGCACUCUGGGACAAGCCCUGGAAACGGGGUCUAAUACCGGAUACUGAUCCUCGCAGGCGAGGUUCGAAAGCUCCGGCGGUGCAGGAUGAGCCCGCGGCCUAUCAGCUAGUUGGUGAGGUAACGGCUCACCAAGGCGACGACGGGUAGCCGGCCUGAGAGGGCGACCGGCCACACUGGGACUGAGACACGGCCCAGACUCCUACGGGAGGCAGCAGUGGGGAAUAUUGCACAAUGGGCGAAAGCCUGAUGCAGCGACGCCGCGUGAGGGAUGACGGCCUUCGGGUUCUUAACCCAAUUCAGCAGGGAAGAAGCGAAAGUGACGGUACCUGCAGAAGAAGCGCCGGCUAACUACGUGCCAGCAGCCGCGGUAAUACGUAGGGCGCAAGCGUUGUCCGGAAUUAUUGGGCGUAAAGAGCUCGUAGGCGGCUUGUCACGUCGGUUGUGAAAGCCCGGGGCUUAACCCCGGGUCUGCAGUCGAUACGGGCAGGCUAGAGUUCGGUAGGGGAGAUCGGAAUUCCUGGUGUAGCGGUGAAAUGCGCAGAUAUCAGGAGGAACACCGGUGGCGAAGGCGGAUCUCUGGGCCGAUACUGACGCUGAGGAGCGAAAGCGUGGGGAGCGAACAGGAUUAGAUACCCUGGUAGUCCACGCCGUAAACGGUGGGCACUAGGUGUGGGCAACAUUCCACGUUGUCCGUGCCGCAGCUAACGCAUUAAGUGCCCCGCCUGGGGAGUACGGCCGCAAGGAAUUGACGGGGGCCCGCACAAGCGGCGGAGCAUGUGGCUUAAUUCGACGCAACGCGAAGAACCUUACCAAGGCUUGACAUACACCGGAAAACCCUGGAGACAGGGUCCCCCUUGUGGUCGGUGUACAGGUGGUGCAUGGCUGUCGUCAGCUCGUGUCGUGAGAUGUUGGGUUAAGUCCCGCAACGAGCGCAACCCUUGUCCCGUGUUGCCAGCAGGCCCUUGUGGUGCUGGGGACUCACGGGAGACCGCCGGGGUCAACUCGGAGGAAGGUGGGGACGACGUCAAGUCAGGCUACCCCUUAUGUCUUGGGCUGCACACGUGCUACAAUGGCCGGUACAAUGAGCUGCGAUAGGCCGCGAGGUGGAGCGAAUCUCAAAAAGCCGGUCUCAGUUCGGAUUGGGGUCUGCAAUUUGACCCCGUUUAGUGGAGUCGCUAGUAAUCGCAGGGCAGCAUUGCUGCGGUGAAUACGUUCCGCGGGACUUGUCCCCACCGCCCAUCACGUCACGAAAGUCGGUAACACCCGA
RNAcentral lists this ribosomal RNA (1320 nucleotides) under Streptomyces sp. Its description in RNAcentral is "bacterial SSU rRNA". It matches the Rfam family "Bacterial small subunit ribosomal RNA", at positions 77 to 1424 of the family's 1533-position model. The record is from RNAcentral. Lineage: Bacteria; Bacillati; Actinomycetota; Actinomycetes; Kitasatosporales; Streptomycetaceae.